Molecule: ribosomal RNA, 253 nt
Filed under: uncultured bacterium
Lineage: Bacteria
Description: partial 16S ribosomal RNA
Rfam family: Bacterial small subunit ribosomal RNA
Source: RNAcentral
UACGAAGGGGGCUAGCGUUGCUCGGAAUUACUGGGCGUAAAGGGCGCGUAGGCGGACAGUUUAGUCAGAGGUGAAAGCCCAGGGCUCAACCCUGGAAUUGCCUUUGAUACUGACUGUCUUGAGUGUGGGAGAGGUGUGUGGAACUCCGAGUGUAGAGGUGAAAUUCGUAGAUAUUCGGAAGAACACCAGUGGCGAAGGCGACGCACUGGCCCAUUACUGACGCUGAGGCGCGAAAGCGUGGGGAGCAAACAGG